Long non-coding RNA from Leptinotarsa decemlineata (Colorado potato beetle), 615 nucleotides. The record is from RefSeq and is a predicted model, not a curated record. Lineage: Eukaryota; Metazoa; Arthropoda; Insecta; Coleoptera; Chrysomelidae.
ACAUAUUAUCAUUUGUUGUAUGAGAGUGUGUGUGUGCGUGCCUCGUUUCCUCCCGGAUUUCUAUAGUACAAAAGUAACUUAGUUAAAGAUUGUUAGUUGGAAAAUGAUGUUCUUGAUGUUAUGUCAAUUAUUAGUUAUUUGUUCAUCAUUCAGUAUAUUGCAGCAUGUGGAUGCGCUGAAAUGUUUCGAAUGUACAUUGUCAGAUGCAGGAUGUGGGGAUCCUAUUCGAAGCCAACAAAUCAAAGCAAUAGACUGCCAAAAUUCGGUGUUCACUAUCAGCGGAAAAACAAUGAGGCAUGCAAAUGAAGAUAUAUAUCGCUGCCUCACAACUAUUGAAAAAAAUUCAUCUAACACUUUAUAUACAAGAAGAUGUGCCCUGAAAGAAGAGAAUAUUAUUUGUGACCCACGAUCCCAAUCUGGUCAACAAAGCAUGAUACUGAAAGAAUGUAUUUUAUGUAAAGAAGACUUUUGUAAUUCGUCUACCAGACAGUCAUAUUAUUUUGGUCAUUAUUUAUUACUAGCUAUAAUUGUAACACUACAAAAAUAAAAAAGACUGAUUCAUUUAUGUAUAAUUAUUACUGUAUAGUUACUACGUAAUAUAAACCACUAAAGAUU